GACGAACGCUGGCGGCGUGCUUAACACAUGCAAGUCGAACGGAAAGGCCCUGCUUUUGUGGGGUGCUCGAGUGGCGAACGGGUGAGUAACACGUGAGUAACCUGCCCUUGACUUUGGGAUAACUUCAGGAAACUGGGGCUAAUACCGGAUAGGAGCUCCUGCUGCAUGGUGGGGGUUGGAAAGUUUCGGCGGUUGGGGAUGGACUCGCGGCUUAUCAGCUUGUUGGUGGGGUAGUGGCUUACCAAGGCUUUGACGGGUAGCCGGCCUGAGAGGGUGACCGGCCACAUUGGGACUGAGAUACGGCCCAGACUCCUACGGGAGGCAGCAGUGGGGAAUAUUGCACAAUGGGCGGAAGCCUGAUGCAGCAACGCCGCGUGCGGGAUGACGGCCUUCGGGUUGUAAACCGCUUUCGCCUGUGACGAAGCGUGAGUGACGGUAAUGGGUAAAGAAGAACAGGCUAACUACGUG
RNAcentral lists this ribosomal RNA (468 nucleotides) under uncultured bacterium. RNAcentral describes it as "partial 16S ribosomal RNA". It matches the Rfam family "Bacterial small subunit ribosomal RNA", at positions 28 to 507 of the family's 1533-position model. The record is from RNAcentral.